Long non-coding RNA from Manis pentadactyla (Chinese pangolin), 954 nucleotides. RefSeq lists it as uncharacterized. The transcript has 3 exons. NCBI's taxonomy places the organism in Eukaryota, Metazoa, Chordata, Mammalia, Pholidota, Manidae. The record is from RefSeq and is a predicted model, not a curated record.
UGGCAAUUUUAGUCAGUUGAGUGAUAUUUAUCCUGGCAAAGCCUUCAAGUUUUUGGAGCUUUGGUCUGAUGUCUGGGGUGGCUUGAGCUAUGAAUGAGGUGUUGACCAUUUGUUGACUCCCUGGUGACUCAGGAUUGAAGAGGGUAUAGAUGCAAUAAGCUUCACACAGUCUUUCAUAAUAGUCCCCAGGAGACUCUCCUGGUUGUUGAGUGACUGAAGAUACUUUGGUCAUGUUCAUAGGCUUUUUGGACCUGGCUUUGAUCCUCUGGAGGAGGGCAUACUGGACCUGGCUUUGAUCCCCUGGAGGAGGGCAUAUUGGUGGAUCUGGUGCUGUCCCUCAGGGGUGAUGAAGUCCCACUCGGGAUGCUCCUCAGGAACAGCAUUUUCAGCCCGUGCACCCCAAUCAAGGAGCCCAGCUGCCUCUUCUCUUCGAUUGUGAACAGGGUGUAGAGAAGCUGUUGGCUGUCUUUCCAGGCUCCUGUGCCUCUUGCACCGGCAUCGGAAGGGUGCCUGCUCCCGGCUGAGGGCACAGUCUGGCUGCUGGUCCAGGGGAAUUUACCCCAUGGAUGCAGCACUCCAGUUUGAAAAAGACAGAUGCACCCCUAUGUUUAUCACAGCACUAUUUACAAUAGCCAAGAAAUGGAAGCAACCUAAGUGUCCAUCAGUAGAUGAAUGGAUAAAGAAGAAGUGGUACAUAUACACAAUGGAAUAUUAUUCAGCCAUAAGAAGAAAACAAAUCCUACAAUUUGCAACAACAUGGAUGGAGCUAGAGGGUAUUAUGCUCAGUGAAAUAAGCCAGGUGGAGAAAGACAAGUGCCAAAUGAUUUCACUCAUCUGUGGAGUAUAAGAACAAAAGAAAAACUGAAGGAACAAAACAGCAGCAGAAUCACAGAACCCAAGAAUGGACUAACAGUUACCAAAGGGAAAGAGACUGGGGGGGGGGAGGAUAGGGAA